Molecule: long non-coding RNA, 2148 nt
Organism: Capsicum annuum
Lineage: Eukaryota; Viridiplantae; Streptophyta; Magnoliopsida; Solanales; Solanaceae
Exons: 10
Source: RefSeq, a predicted model, not a curated record
GAAUGAUAUUUAUCCAUCAUCUCCAGUUUCCACCGCGAAAUCAUUUCAUUUCACUUCCAAAACGAUGGUUUCUACCUAUCUUCACUGUAUUUUUUCUUCAAAAAAAUUCCAAAGAAAAUCAAAAUUUCGCAGCUCCGAUUCUUCCUCCAAAUAAAUUCAUCUUAGUAUCCCAUUUGGAUAACUUGUCAACUGCUUUGAAUUCUCGGAGACGUUCGGCAGUGAAGCCAAUGAAUGUUGCGCGUAAGAGAAAUGAUUCAAUAGUUCCAUCAAUCGCUACCAUCGUGGCUCCUGAUAAAUGAAAUUUUCAAUAUUUGUGUUUGCAUGUGCUUUGUUUUCAUGGUGUUGAAGGAUGGGUAAACUGAUGUUUAGGUUUUCAGUUACCGGGAUCAUAUGAGUAGUCAAAAAAAUCCUUGUGUCCACAUAUAAAAAGUUCUGGAGAAGAGUUACUCUUACUGAGGAGUAUGUGGACAGUAUCCGUGAGUCAUUGCCUAACUUUCAGAAGAUAAGCGUCGGAGGUAUGAGAAAAUGGGCCUAAGCAUGCAAGAUGUCCUGUUUCUUGCCAAUGACAACAAUCAUACCAUUAGACAAGUGAUGGUGAUAGCCCCGGCAACAACACUAAGUUCAUGGUACAGAAACUUGCCAACAGAACUUUCCACCUAGCGAGUACAAUUAGACUAUGCAGGUCAACCAUGCCCAAGAAAGAAGUUUCCUGAAGCCAAUGACCAACAAGUAGCCAAAUAAAGACAAAGUUUGAUAUAAUAGUACAAGUGGAGGUUGAUGAAAUUCAGGAGCAGUACCACUCCAGAUCAUGCCAUACAGCAACAAAUGUGAAGAUAACCCACAUAUUUUUCUGCUUCGUCUAAGUACCCCCAAGAGGAAUAUACAAAUAUCUAAAUAUAGACACAUCACACAAGAUUUUGGGGUCAGGAGACUGAUGAUGGAACACUUGAUUUGAUCCAUUCUGCAGAUGUUUUGGAGGAAAAUUUCCCCCUGUAUCGUAGUAUGGAGAAGUUACAUGUUAAUAAUGGUUUUAUGAAUAUGGAUUUGUAGCAAAGAGAAGAAUUUAUGACAUCACAAAUGUCCUCGAGGAAUUGGAUUAAUUGAGAAAGGUACAAAGAGUCAUAUAUGUUGGAAGUAAGACACUUGUGCAUUUGGUUCAGUUUUUGUGAUCUUACUUGGUAAUGGCCCAAAUUUAUCUUAAUAGAAGGUUCCAUUCAACCAAAUAUUGAGGGCUGGAUAAUCAAGUAUCUAGACUGAAGGUGAUUAUAAAUUGGUUCUAAGAAUGUAGGAAGGAGGGAGGGUGUUUUGUAUAUUCAUCCAUUCUGAUUCUUUUACUGAACCUUACUUUCCUAUGAAAUGACAGGGGAAAAUUACAUAUUUAAAGGCAGCGGAUUUCCAACUUGAGGGAAAUGUUUUGAGUUUUCUUACUUUAUGAAUGUGAAACAUUUAUCAAUACAAGGAAAAACAUUUUCUCUUGAUAAUUUUACGUGACCUCCUUCCGCGACGACCUGAUUUGCGUCUCAUUCUGAUGAGUCCUACUAUUAACGCUGGGUUGUUAUCCAAAACUUCAUAGAUGUACCCACGAUUCAUAUACCGGGUUUAACAUAUCCAGUGGCAAAACUGUUUCUUGAAAACGGGUUGGAGAAGAAAAUUGGAGAUCUUGGGCUUGCAGCUAUUUUGCGAAAAUCACACACUGUUCAUUAUGUUGUUGAUCAUUCUUCAUUGAGUGGGAUGCCUCUGUUUCCUAAGAGCACGUACCAACCCAGCAUCAUGAGGCGCAAAAGGACACAUGGUUUCAUUGCUCAGUGGUUGUUUUUGGCUUUGACAUUUGGUUUUCAUCAUAGGCGGUUUCACUUUGUUAACAACUCUCUGUGUCAAUGGUAUCAAUAUUCCACAACAAUCCAGCUACUUUGUCAAUAGGUGUUUCAUCGUGAAUGCUCGAGAGAUUGAUCACAGCAACAACUGCAUCCCCUAUUAUAGAAUUUAUAAAUAUUAUCCCUAGCAAUGUAAAUAGACAACAAUGACUAUCAUAUGUAAAUAUGAGCAUUCAUUAAUAUGUUAUUCCCAUGAUUGUAUAAAAUAUACAUUUGGAAUCAUUUCAUCAACUGAUCCAAUCAAACGGAACAGUCCCUUGCUGUUAUAUUUUCA